GGCCAGGUAGCUCAGUUGGUAGAGCAGAGGACUGAAAAUCCUCGUGUCGGCAGUUCGAUUCUGUCCCUGGCCACCA
This 76-nucleotide transfer RNA is filed under the name Gammaproteobacteria bacterium. Its description in RNAcentral is "tRNA-Phe". It matches the Rfam family "tRNA". From Rfam's summary of the family: Transfer RNA (tRNA) molecules are approximately 80 nucleotides in length. Their secondary structure includes four short double-helical elements and three loops (D, anti-codon, and T loops). Further hydrogen bonds mediate the characteristic L-shaped molecular structure. tRNAs have two regions of fundamental functional importance: the anti-codon, which is responsible for specific mRNA codon recognition, and the 3' end, to which the tRNAs corresponding amino acid is attached (by aminoacyl-tRNA synthetases). tRNAs cope with the degeneracy of the genetic code in two manners: having more than one tRNA (with a specific anti-codon) for a particular amino acid; and 'wobble' base-pairing, i.e. permitting non-standard base-pairing at the 3rd anti-codon position. Lineage: Bacteria; Pseudomonadati; Pseudomonadota; Gammaproteobacteria. RNAcentral also lists the same sequence under 3 other names. The record is from RNAcentral.